CAAAAACAAACAAAUGAAAGAAAUUAACUAAUUAAUAAAUAUUUUAAAAAGUGCCCAAGCAUGAUGGUACAUGCCUUUAUCCCAGCACACGGAAAGAUCAGGCGUACAAGGUCAUCCUUAGCUACAUAACAAGUUUGAGCCAACCUGAGCUACAAGAAAAAGUAAAAGUAAAAAACAAGUCCAAGUGCAGCUGAACUUAAAACUUAACUUUAAUUUGUUCUGGGAGAAGAAAAUUUUAUUAUUCUUUAAGUGGGAUAUCUACAAAUAAACUAUGAGCACAGGAGAGAAAAUGAAAUAUAAAUUUGCUAUAUUACAUCCAUGUUAAAUUAAUUUAAAAUAAGGAAACGAAGGCUAGGAAUACAGUUCAGCUGGCUGAAGACUUAUCUACUGAGAUUAAUUCCCGGCACUGCAUAAACUGGGUGUGGUGAUAUACUCCAUCUCUCAGUACAGUGAUACAGUCAUCUCUCAGUACAGUGAUACAGUCACCUCUCAGUACAGUGAUACAGUCAUCUCUCAGUACAGAGAUACAGUCAUCUCUCAGUACAGUGAUACAGGUCAUCUCUCAGUACAGAGAUACAGUCAUCUCAGUACAGUGAUACAGUCAUCUCUCAGUACUUGGGAGAUGGGAGGCAGGAAACUCAGAAGUUCAAGGUCUUUCUUAGCUACAUACUGAGUUCAAGACCAGCCUGGGUUACAUGACACCCUUUUUCAAAAAACAAAAUUACAGCAAAUAAACAACAUGUAAAACACUAGUUUGAGAAACUAGAGUAUAUAAUUUUGAUACAAUUAACAUUUUGUUUUAGAAAAAUUACUUCACCUACAUAUUACAGUUAAGGUUUUUGAAAAACAGCAAAGACAAUGAAAAUUUUUAACAUUCACAAAGAUAAAAAUACUAACAGAUUUUACACAAGUAUUUGAAUUGUUGACUAAGAUUGACUAGACUGUACAAAUGUAGAUUUUCAUAAGGACAAGUGCUAUAUUGUACU
Alexandromys fortis (reed vole) is the source of this 986-nucleotide long non-coding RNA. RefSeq lists it as uncharacterized. The transcript is spliced from 3 exons. The record is from RefSeq and is a predicted model, not a curated record. Lineage: Eukaryota; Metazoa; Chordata; Mammalia; Rodentia; Cricetidae.